GUCGUUUAUGCCGUUGCUUUGGUGUUGUUGCUUGCCUCGGUCCAUGCAGAGUAUUCUCAUUUGCACAUACUUCGAGCGUCUUAGCGACUCUUUGGAACACGCCUUCGAGUUCUAAUUAUGAAUUCAAUUCAUGCAGAAAAUUAGUCGAGCUGAAUCAUCGCACACGGCUAGCGAUGCUUGUUGUUACUGUGGCCACUGCUGAUCUUCUGCCUUUGGUUUCGAUGCCUUGGCUCUGCUGUCGCACAGAUAAAAGCCACAUCAUAAUAUGAUUUAAGGCCAAAAAAUGGUGAAACUAAAAAAUGUGCAUAGCAAAUUCGUAUGGAAAAAAGUUAGAAAGACAAAAGCCAAAAUUGACUUGUGUUAAGUUUGGCAUGAGACAUAUGGCACAUAAGUUGAGGGAUUGGCAAGUGGGUGACUAGACCUCAGCGCUCACAACAAAAAACUAUAUUGAAAGAACUUAACAAAUAAAUUUAAAAAAAGAUAUGGCAACUUGUCAAUAAAGGCUAUAGAAUCAACUGCAAAUGGUAACGCUGUAACUGUCAAAGUUCGUACAGCGAUUCGGAAUGAAGCAGCUGCGCAUAGAGGUGCAUUUACCGUUAAAAACGGUUUGUUAAAUUGAUGGACUCAGCGUUGUUAGAAUAAGGUUAAGUACAAUAUAUCAACACAUAUUGGGCUUCGUUCAAUAAAUUUAUUACGAUAAGGAUUAUGGGAGCUAAUAUCUGAUUUUUGGAACUGACACUAUUAAUACGCGCGCUUAUUGCAUUUAUUGCCUCUAACCUGCGCCAAAAUUUGUUUACGUAGAAGUUAAAUUUUGUUAGUCUCCAGACAUAUUAGAUGCCUCAGGAACUAUCGCACAAAUGCCGAAAAUACUGCGUAUAUUAGCAUAGCAGAACAAAUGGACGCACAGUUGGUGUGAAAAUAUGUGUUUGACAUUCGCCAAGGCAAGAAAAAACGUACGCAAUUUAUUAAAAACACUAUUCAGUGUUCUUAUUGCCUUUGUUCGUUUGAAAUAAUGAAAUAACAUCAAAUAAGAAAAGACAGACAAACUAAUAACGGCUAACAGCAAUUGGAAAUUCAAUUUAUUAGACUUUGUCGUUUCGACGCCACUUACGCUCACUCACGCCGCCGUUGAAUAUCUUCGCCACUGAUGACAGCCAUAUUAUAGUAUUGUUAUUUUGUAGUAGUUUCUUCACAUUUCGCAAAGCAGCAGAAAAUUCCGUCAUACGAAGCAUUGCAAAUUUUCGCAGACAUUAUUAAUUUUGAUACACACACCCGCAUAUUUAACAGUACAUCUCUAGGUAUGUAUGUAGUUGGAAGUGUGGAUAUGCAUGUUGGCAUAAAAAACGAAAUUUUGCAUUAAAACAUUAACGUGCGCCGUAGUGCCUUAAAUUUUGCUGUCACAGCUCCGGAUUUAUAUGUAUUACUUUUAAUUUGUUAAUUUUUCUUUUGCUAGGCACAUUUGCACAGCCAUAAAUUUCGAUGAUAUAUGAAAACUGAAUAAAUAAUAAUAAAAAACCAAA
Long non-coding RNA from Bactrocera oleae (olive fruit fly), 1520 nucleotides. RefSeq lists it as uncharacterized. The record is from RefSeq and is a predicted model, not a curated record. Lineage: Eukaryota; Metazoa; Arthropoda; Insecta; Diptera; Tephritidae.